This is a non-coding RNA of Schizosaccharomyces pombe (fission yeast), 668 nucleotides long. NCBI's taxonomy places the organism in Eukaryota, Fungi, Ascomycota, Schizosaccharomycetes, Schizosaccharomycetales, Schizosaccharomycetaceae. The record is from the annotation of a GenBank genome assembly.
UAUUAGCGUAAGGAGGAUCGGCAUAUGAAAAUUGCAAAAGUAUACGUAAACAAUUAACACUGCAAAUGACUAAGCCUCAAUCUUGGCAAACGUUUCAACGUUCAGGUUGCCUCUUGGAUUUCAUUCCUUGGUUAGUUUCUCUCAAAAUUUCUCGGUUUUUUUGACAUUUUUUUUUCACUCUGAGUAUUCUUCUCCUCUGUCAUGGAAAUCCACACUUCUUCUUCUUUAACCGAAUAAUCUUAAAUGCUAAAUCGUCCUCUCAUCUUCGCUUCCCUUGAAUAACAACACUCCGCCAUUCGUCAUUUGUUACUCCGCUUGAUAAUGUCAGCUACUAUGAUUUACGUAAUUUUAUAGUUAAAUUCCCCAGGCAAGCUUUGCUGCUUAUUGUAUCUCUAGCCAAUGUAUGUUGAGGAAAUCAAUGUCGGAGUCAUUGCAAUCCGACACUCUGAUAUCGUUUUUCUUCCAAGCCGUAUAUAUACUGCUGCUAUUCCUCUCACUUUUCUCUAUAUAAAAUAUUCUUUAACUAAAAAGUAGUAACUCGUCCUUUUUUUUUGAACAUUUACUACCUGCUACCUGAUCUGAGCUAAAGAUCUGAUAGCCCCUUGACGAAGAUAACAUUACGAGCUUCGGUUUACCGUGUUAAGUAAAUUAAGCUCCCCUGAUUAUAC